RNAcentral lists this long non-coding RNA (951 nucleotides) under Androctonus crassicauda. Lineage: Eukaryota; Metazoa; Arthropoda; Arachnida; Scorpiones; Buthidae. The record is from RNAcentral.
GGGAAAAAUGAGGACUAUUUUUGUGGUUUUAUUAUUAUAUUUUAAUAUUAAACAUUAUACUUAACACAUUUUUACAAAAAUUAAAUUUGUACCAUAUCUCACUAAUGAAAUAAAUGUGGGUUACAUUUGUCCCACUACCUCUCUAGAUGUUAAAUAUAAGUGGGUUAUAUUUGUCCCACUGGUCACUUUCAAGGCCACUCCUGUUUAUCCCUUUAUAAGGCAAAAAGAACUGACUUGUGAGACAUAUACAAUUUAUUCUGAUGUAAUGUACUAAUAAUGUACAUAAUUUCCGACUAAUAAAACAAACAGUAUUAAAAAAUUUUUAUUAAUUAUUAAAAUAAAUGUGGGUUAUUUUUAUCCCACUGACAAGUUGUAUAUCAAAAAGAGCAUAUCGAUUUGUUUCAACUGUUAGUAACUGUAUAAUUUCACGAUCAAAAUAUAGCGAAAAUGCAUCAAGUGGUGUUAAUGAGUUUACCCCAUAUAGGAUCUACAGUUUCAGGAAUUUUAAUAAUAAUUUCUGGAAGAGAUUUCAUCCAUUCAUUUAUAUCUAUAUUUUCAGUAGGCCUAUCAUUCAUCACUUCUUUAUUACCAGAGGUAGUUUUGCUUGUUCUCUUUCUUUUUUUUUCUUAUAAGAUGAUUUUUGUUUUUUUGUACUAGUUCAUGGUACACUUUCUGGUACUCUUGGUUCAUCCAGGAAGGAAUCUUGAUCUUCAGGAAGUAAUUCUUGCACAAAAUUCUCAUCUAAGUCAUCUGAACUAUAUUCAUCAUCACUAUCAUAAGUGUUAUUUGGAAGACUAUAUAAAUGCUCUAAAAUAUCUUUUGAUUGUAAAGACUUUAUACCUAAUCAGCAAAUUAUUAGAUAUAUGAAAUCAGUUAUUUUCGCAAAUAAUAAUACUAUAUUCUCAGAUAAUAUAUAGAAUAAAAGUAAUUAAAAAUAAAUUUCAUUGAAAU